UGAAAAUCGAAGAAUAAGAGUAGUAAGCUUAAGUGAAGCUUUACAGAGAGCCCGGGAAAGGUGAGACCCUGGCAGGAUAGCUUAAGAUGAAUGGACUUAUGAGAGAUGACUUGAACAAUGCAGUAGGGUCAUACGGGUUUCCUCCGUUAUAAGGAUAGAAUAUCGGGUUUUCAUGACCCCGUAUUCGAAAAGAAGAGGGAGUAAGUUUCUUACUCCAACCUGAGGUGGCACCGCGGUCAGCAUCGUCCUCUAU
This 253-nucleotide non-coding RNA is filed under the name [Bacillus] enclensis. Its description in RNAcentral is "Bacillus enclensis T-box sequence". It matches the Rfam family "T-box leader". Rfam says of the family: Uncharged tRNA acts as the effector for transcription antitermination of genes in the T-box leader family. The record is from RNAcentral. Lineage: Bacteria; Bacillati; Bacillota; Bacilli; Caryophanales; Bacillaceae.